RNAcentral lists this ribosomal RNA (253 nucleotides) under uncultured bacterium. RNAcentral's name for it is "partial 16S ribosomal RNA". It matches the Rfam family "Bacterial small subunit ribosomal RNA", at positions 524 to 776 of the family's 1533-position model. The record is from RNAcentral.
UACGUAGGGGGCAAGCGUUGUCCGGAUUUAUUGGGCGUAAAGAGCGUGUAGGCGGCCAGGUAGGUCUGGCGUGAAAACUCGAGGCUUAACCUCGAGAUGUCAUCGGAAACCAUUUGGCUAGAGUCCGGAAGAGGAGAGUGGAAUUCCAGGUGUAGUGGUGAAAUACGUAGAUAUCUGGAGGAACACCGGUGGCGAAGGCGGCGAUCUGGCCCAACACUGACACUGAGACCCGAAAGCAUGGGGAGCAAACAGG